RNAcentral lists this ribosomal RNA (480 nucleotides) under Blastocystis sp. Its description in RNAcentral is "SSU rRNA". It matches the Rfam family "Eukaryotic small subunit ribosomal RNA", at positions 460 to 953 of the family's 1831-position model. The record is from RNAcentral. RNAcentral also lists the same sequence under 1 other name. Lineage: Eukaryota; Bigyra; Opalinata; Blastocystidae.
GGAGGUAGUGACAAUAAAUCACAAUGCGGAACUUCUGUUUUGCAAUUGGAUUGAGAACAACGCACAACACUUAUCGAUAAACAAUUGGAGGGCAAGUCUGGUGCCAGCAGCCGCGGUAAUUCCAGCUCCAAUAGCGUAUAUUAACGUUGUUGCAGUUAAAAAGCUCGUAGUUGAAGUGAAGUGUGAAUCUCUUGGAUUUUCGUUCGAAUUUCCUUUAGCUUCAUACUCUUUCCAAAUAGUUUGCAUGGGUAUUUACUUAUCUGUGUAUUGCAUUUGGUCAUUUACUGUGAGAAAAUUAGAGUGUUCAAAGCAUACGUUUGUUUGAAUACAUUAGCAUGGAAUAAUUCGAAAAGGCUUUCAUGUUCGAUUUGAUUGGUUUGUUCGUGAAGGCAAGAUUAAAAGGGACAGUUGGGGGUAUUCAUAUUCAAUAGUCAGAGGUGAAAUUCUCGGAUUUAUGGAAGAUGAACAAGUGCGAAAGCA